RNAcentral lists this long non-coding RNA (5157 nucleotides) under Canis lupus familiaris (dog). RNAcentral's name for it is "lncRNA (ENSCAFG00845009203.1)". Lineage: Eukaryota; Metazoa; Chordata; Mammalia; Carnivora; Canidae. The record is from RNAcentral.
UUCAAUGUUUUAUUUUUGACUGCAGCUGUUUACAGAAAUAUAGUUGCGAGUAUACAAAUGUUCCAAUAGAAGCAAAAUAUCUUUUUAAUAUUUAACAAGUUAUCACAGAUAGCUAAAAACAUAGAUGCAAAUGAAAUUCCCCCACAGAACAAACUGAAAAUAUCUGGUGUCAGUGCUCUGAAAUCCCAACUAUGAAAGCCAUAUACACAAAAAUGUAAUCCUUAUAUCAUUGCAGGACAAUGGAAGAAGGCAGUUCAGUGGUUGACCAAUGUGCUCAAGCAAAAUACAAUUAAAAAACUUAAAUGGCAGAAUGGUAGCUAAAGCACUCGAGAAAAGGUUAAUGAAAUAUCUGCAGUAUGUUAAUUAAAAGACUAAGUAAAAGAAGUAAAUAAAACUCAGUAAAAGUUGACCGAAAAAAGUAGGAAUUACUUGGAGCUUACCAAUUAGAAGGGAACAAGGUGAGCAGAUACAUUCAUUAGCUCAAAAGAAAUUAGCUCAAUGUCACUGGAAUCAGCUUGUAGCUACUAAAGGCAUAAACACUUUAGUGCAAGACAGUUCUUAAUUGGACACAUUAGGCUGAUUCCAAAGCCAAUCUCAAACAUCUGAGAUGGUGUGUAUGUGUGUGUUGUCCUGAGGUUCAUUAGCUAAAAUAAUAAGCAACCCUAUAUAAACUAUUUCAAACUAUUUCAAAUUACUUCUGGGGAAAAAAAGAGAGCAAGGAUGAUAUGGUUAAACACGGGGCUUUUAAAAGAAAAGAAACACUCUAAGUUGGAGUCAAAUAGAAUUGUGGUAGAAUUCUUUGGAUACAGGAAUAUAUUACGCAAUAAAGUGGGGAAGAGGUGGGAAGGGAACAAGAAAGGAGGAAUGUACCUAGAGCAUCUCCCCACAGUUUGCCUAUGUACUGCCAGCACCAAGGUUUGUAGAGUAAGCCACUUAUAUUUCCACUGCUAGUAUUAAGCAAAGACAGCAGUGGUGACUUUUAUAAAAUUUUAUUUUAUUUUUAUUUUGAAUGUGCAUUUUUCUUCCAUGAGUUGAUUAAUUGGGUGAUUUGUAAACAGUGGAAGGAAGAUUACAGCAAUUAUGGAGGUGCUGAAUUACACAUGGAGACUAAAAUGAAUGGAUAAAUCUACUUAUCUUGUUAGUUUAUAUUUACCAUGAAGCAUACGAUUGAGAAGGGAGAAAUGCCCAGAUUAUAUAAUGCACUAUCUUGUCCAAUAUUUAUUUUAGUAAAUAAUGCUUGUCUGAAGUAUAAGUUCUGAGAACAGCUAUAUCUCUACUGCAUCAGUUCUCAUACAAACCAAGCUACUUUUAAAUAAGUUUUAUCUAUUUAAAAAAAGAAAUUAAAUAAAUAAGGUGCUUUGUGACCUGGCUAGCCAUCUUGUUUAAUAUCUCAGAUACAAAUCUAAAUACAAGGAAUGAUGUUCUGAAAGUUGGUCUAGCCAGACCAAAAUUGUGGUCUGCUGGUAAAGUAAGAGGCAAUGAAAAGAAAGCUUGUAUUAUCACUGCCCACAAUGUACCCAUUUCAUGGAUAAACAGGAGACUUUAGCACCCGUCAAUUGUUUUAGCUAUUUAAAUAUCUUAACAAUUUAAAGAAAUAUAGAAGAUUGCACCUAUGUAUUUAAAUCAGUCAUUUAAUGUAAACUUUUUUAGUAAAUGGUAGGAAAAUGCCAAACUAAGUUAACUGAAUUAUCAAUAACUAAAUUAUUUAUGUACACAAAACAUAUUAUAUUUCUACAGGCAGUACUAAGAAUAAAUUAACAUUGCCAAUAAAUGAUUAUGGAUAACCGGGUUAAGCUGAAUUUACAUAAAGAACAAUAUAUAUAACUAUUUGUAUGAAUUGGGGGAAAACCUUUCUAGAUUUUACUGUAUAACAUUUAUACCAGUGGUUUUCAAAUUGAGCAUACAUCAGAAUCACCUGGAGGGCUUGUUAAAACACAAGAUUGCUAGGCCCCAUGCCAGAGUUUCUAAUUCAGUAUGUCUAUGAUAGGGCCCAAAAUGUGCAUUUCUAACUAGAUCCCAAGUGAUACAGAUGUUGGCUGGUGGGCUGAGGACCAUACUUUGAAAACCACUGGUUUACACUAUUUAUGUAGAAACUAUAUACUACAACGUUUUUAUAAACAUGACAUAAAAAAAUACUGGAAGAAAGCUGGUUUUAAUUAAGUCUCAAACAUAUAGAUUAGCAAGCUGAACAUUUAAUAUUUCUAAAAUGAUUUGCUGAAGUGUAAUCAUUUCUUCACAUAGUCAAAGUCUUAAGUCCUACUAUAGUCCUACUAUAUAUAGUCCUACUAUAGUCAUUUUAGAAAAUAUUCAUAUAACACAUUUGGAUAGCUGGCUAUCCAAAAUAAAAAGGGACAUAAAUAGUUAAAAUGUAUUUAUUAAGAAGGAAUCAUCACUAUACAGCAUUCUUGACUUCUUUGGAAUGAUUAAAGUGCAUAAUAUCAUUAGGGUAUUAAGAAUAUUGCAUAAAAGGUUUGCAGUCUUCAGAGCCACUAAGUAAAAGAAAUACAUAGGGAAAACAGCUCUAUGCCAAAGCUACUGCUCUCCUGCCCUCUUGUUAGGCACCCACCACUGCAGUAAGGAACUAGAACUAGAAUGGAGGCAAAAUUGACAAAAACCAGAGGGACACUUAAUCCAACUGUAUCUUGUUGGAAGGAAUCAUUAUCUUAGUCCUAGAGGGAUUCCAAUAUAACUACUUUAUUUCCUUGGACACUAUUUUUCAUAAAGAUUACGAAGGUUCUGACAGACAAGAGGAGCACUACAAUGAAUUACAUGGCCUUGUCUAGUUAGAAAAGUUGACAUUACCAGGUUUUACCUAAACUAUGUUAGUGAUUUUCAUCCGUCUAGUAAGAUCAGAGAAGAUGCUUUAAAUACUUCCUUCCUGAAAUUUAACUACAAACAUUUGUGUACAUGGAGUCUCACAGAUAAUAAAAUUUUCAUUAGCAUUCAGAUAGGACCUAUCAUUACUUGGUCAAGAUGAAGACAUAUGUAGAUAAUUUAUAUAAAGCCCAAACAGUGUAAUUCUAUAAUCUAUUACCCUCCCUCAGAGGAACAAUUCUAGCAAUGUAACUUCUCUGUUACUCUAAGCCAAAGGGAGAAUCCUAGGGAAGUUACUUUCUAUGAUGAAUGAAAAAUAGAGAAAAGAAUGGACUAAAUGAAAAAAUUGAAGUUGGGGCCUAGCGAAAUCAUUUGUGUAUUUGUUUUUGGCAACAGUGUAAAAUGAAAUUACAAGAAAGGGGCACUCUCAUGGUAAAAAGGCACUUUUCCAUAAGCAUUUGAUCUAGAUAUAAAAUAUUAUUUAAAAAAAACUUCCUGAAAGAGAAAGUGGAAUAAAGAUACAAUUUUAUUAAUGAAGGAGGCUAGAAUGGCAUGAAAUCAAGGGGGAUUAAAUACGUGAUUAGAGCACUGGGACAAUUCACACAAGUGACAUUGUAGAUGUUACUCUGAUAUUUACUGCAUUAUGAAUACAAAUUAUGUCCAUGACUUAGUUCUAGUGACACAAAUAAGCAGAAGAGAAAACUUCUUUUUAGUAUGUAACAAGAUUCUACUAACCUAACUUACUAGGGCUAUGUACUCUGAGUUAUUUUUCUAAUAAAGCUGAUCUAUACAGUCUCCCCACUGAGUCCCUCCUUAUAACCAAAUGUGUGCAUAUACAACAUGGCUGCACUGGGUAGGGAUGAAGCCUGUGGUCACGAAGUAAAGCUAACAGGCCUCACAUAAUUUUCAAUGAAUUAGAAAAAAAUUCAAUUAGGAACCAGGUAUUAGAACAGAAAUUUUCAUCAGAACAAUGAAAAAUUCUCAAAUUACUCCUAGUAUUUAUAAGCCAUGUUUAAUUUGAGGCUUUGAUUAUUAUAGCAUUUAACUCUAGUCUUUAAUUACUGAUCUGUCUAAAACAUUUAACUUUUCCAAAACAACUGUCCAAAACAGUUUAAAUGGUCAAAAGGAAUCAUUAUCUUAGUCCUAGAGGGACUCUGAUACAAAUUCUUUCUCAUUUCCUUUGACACUAUUUUUCUAGGCAGAUUAGCUGAAGUUCUGAUGGACAAAAAAUGCACUAUAAUGAACUUCUCAACUAUAGCAUAUACAGUAUUACCAAAAAAGAAAAAAGAAAGGGAGGUCCUUCAUUAAUUCUGCUCUUAUAAUAAAUAGUUCUUUAAAAACCUGUUCUAGGGAGAAUGGCAAAAAUAGAUUUGCACUGACUAAAUAACAGCAUGAUACUCUAAUUACAAAGGUAAUAUGAUAAAGCUCAGUAGCAAAUAUGACUUCUAGUUAUCUUCUCCCACGUUGGUGUGGAUUUAUAAUGGAAUGACAAUAAAGAGUAACACACACAUACACACACACAGAGUAAGUUAGAGAGAGACAGAUAAGCUCCAAGCAUUAAGGUGAGUUGCUAAAAGAAAGAGCAAUUGAAUGUAACAAUAUAAAGGAAUAAAAGAGGUUCAUAGUUUAUUUAGGUCCUUCUGCCAUAAAUAAAUUUAAUAAAUUGUUGCUUCCAAGGCCUUUGCUGGCUCAUGGAGUCUAUCCCAUAUAAUUUGUAACAGUAAUCUGGAAGUUGUAUUAUUAUUAGCACAAGUAUCAACCACUGACCACUGAGCUAACUCUUCAAUAAGAAGACAAAUGUUUUUUGUAACCAAAUAUUCAGAAUGCUGUACUUAACAUUGACCUUUAGGGGUAAGGAACAUUUAACAAUGGUAAAAAAAAAAAAAAAAAAAAAAUCAUUAUCAAAUAAGAAUAUGGUAGCAUAGCACAGCCCUUGUAUAAAUAACCACAAAAUUUAUGAAAAUAAAAAUUGGGUUUUCUGCUCCAUCCAAUCAAGCCACUACAGUUCAGGUGUAUGUUCUGUUCUAAACUUAGAUGCCAUAAAACAGAAAAUUGGUCCCUGGUGACUUGGCAUUGGCAAUCAGCAUUUUACAAUGAUAAGCCUCUGGCUAAACAACAGAACAGAAGUCAGCACACAAGCCAGUCUUCUUGCCACCACUUCAUCCACAGAGCAGUGUUAACAAACAUUCUAAUUGGAACCUGGUGAACAAACAGACUUCCUGAGUCUCCUGUGUAAUCUCUUAGAAAAAAAGUCAGAAAACUCAGAAAUAAACGUAUUUUAUUUCUACUUCCUAUUUUUAUACCUGCUGGGUAAGCUACCUCUUUAUACCUCUGCAGUUAGAG